GUGGGGAAUAUUGGACAAUGGGCGCAAGCCUGAUCCAGCCAUGCCGCGUGAGUGAUGACGGCCUUAGGGUUGUAAAGCUCUUUCGCGCACGACGAUAAUGACGGUAGUGCGAGAAGAAGCCCCGGCUAACUUCGUGCCAGCAGCCGCGGUAAUACGAAGGGGGCUAGCGUUGUUCGGAAUCACUGGGCGUAAAGGGUGCGUAGGCGGGUCCAUCAGUCAGGGGUGAAAUCCCGAGGCUCAACCUCGGAACGGCCUUUGAUACUGUGGAUCUUGAGUCCGGAAGAGGUGAGUGGAACUGCGAGUGUAGAGGUGAAAUUCGUAGAUAUUCGCAAGAACACCAGUGGCGAAGGCGGCUCACUGGUCCGGAACUGACGCUGAGGCACGACAGCGUGGGGAGCAAACAGG
RNAcentral lists this ribosomal RNA (405 nucleotides) under uncultured bacterium. RNAcentral describes it as "bacterial SSU rRNA". It matches the Rfam family "Bacterial small subunit ribosomal RNA", at positions 354 to 776 of the family's 1533-position model. The record is from RNAcentral.